Molecule: ribosomal RNA, 442 nt
Filed under: uncultured bacterium
Lineage: Bacteria
Description: partial 16S ribosomal RNA
Rfam family: Bacterial small subunit ribosomal RNA
Source: RNAcentral
CCUACGGGUGGCAGCAGUAGGGAAUCUUUCACAAUGGGCGAAAGCCUGAUGGAGCAACGCCGCGUGCAGGAUGAAGGCCUUCGGGUUGUAAACUGCUUUUAUAAGCGAGAAAUAUGAUGGUAAUUUAUGAAUAAGGAUCGGCUAACAACGUGCCAGCAGCCGCGGCCAUACGUAGGAUCCGAGCAUUAUCCGGAGUGACUGGGUGUAAAGAGUUGCGUAGGUGGCAUAAUAAGUAGCUAGUGGAAUCUGGUGGCUCAACCAUUCAGACUAUUAGCGAAACUGUUAAGCUCGAGACCGUUAGAGGUAACUGGAAUUUCUAGUGUAGGAGUGAAAUGCGUAGAUAUUAGAAGGAACACCAAUAGCGUAGGCAGGUUGCUGGGACGGUUCUGACACUAAGGCACGAAAGCGUAGGGAGCAAACGGGAUUAGAUACCCCAGUAGUC